Cryptotermes secundus is the source of this 7332-nucleotide RNA transcript. It is a transcript of the gene named NCK-interacting protein with SH3 domain, with no coding region annotated. The transcript is spliced from 11 exons. The record is from RefSeq and is a predicted model, not a curated record. NCBI's taxonomy places the organism in Eukaryota, Metazoa, Arthropoda, Insecta, Blattodea, Kalotermitidae.
CCGUGAGACGUGAGGGCUGUGAGCGUUGGUGGCAGUGAGUGGAGCGGUGUGUUUGUCUGUUUGACGUUGUUGGCUUUCCGUUUUAUUUUUUUUGUGAAUGUACAAAAGUUGUACCUCCUUACACUAUAUCGAAAAAGAUACUCCUUGUUUAAUUACAGAUGAAUAAAAGUUUCAGUUAUUUGUUACUGGAAUGAACAAAACAGUUUGCAAUAUGUGAAGUUGUUGCAAAAAGGCAAAUCCAAAGUAGAACUUUUUCUUGAUAUAAUUUACUUAUUAAAAUGGGCGAAAAUAGAGCAGAAAUUAACGGCAGAGGGGAACAAUUUGAAAUGCUGAAAGCUCUGUAUAACUUCAAAGCAACAUUUGCCAAGACUCUUAGCUUUCAAGAAAAUGAUAUCUUUAUUCUUCAUCAAGUAAACACAAAACAACGCAACUGGUGGCAGGUGGUGAACUCUGUGGGACAAGUUGGAUAUGUUCCUUCAAAUUAUGUGACAGCCAUUCAGGUUAGUGUUGAAUGUUGGGUACAGUUCUUAGAUGGGUGUUUGGAAGUUCUGCGGGGAGAAGGAGUGCAAAGUGGUGGGUGCUUGGCUACUGACCGGCAAGAUCUGUUGCUUCGUCUGUUGGAACGGAGAAGGAAAGCUGAGUUGUGUUCUUCUAACUCAGGGAAGAGGCAUGCUCCACUUCCACCUGACUUCCACGUGAGCAUUUCCUCGAGUACAUCUCCAAAGCUGCGACAUGCUAUGGCAAGUGAUGGAAUGGCACCUGAUGGAAUUUCACAUUUAUCUCCUAGUGGUACUUCCUCAAAUUCAGCUGCUGUCUCCUCAUUAAGGAGUGCUGGAAGUGACGCAGUGGUCAAUCAGUCAAGUCAGAGAAAUUCACCUAAACCACAGUCAAGUAUGCCGAAUCAUGUUACACCAGGUAGCUUGGCUGCACGACAGGUGAUUCACGUUACCAUGUCUGAUACAUCUCACUGUCGUGUUAACAACAUAGCUGAAGACAGGCAUCAUGAAAUGAAGAAAGUAUCUUCCGUGGUUUCCGCCACAGUGACAGCUUUACCUACCAAAUCACCAUUAUUUGAAGACAGUGCAUCGUCUGAUGCCAGAAAUGAUCCAGGGUCAUCAGUUGCUUACCAGCUAGUAGAAAAGGUUCGGAAACAUACACAGCUGAGCCAUGAGAUGUCUCGUGUAGCAGUGGCAGUUGUUGUAGGUGGUCUUUGUGAUCUUCUUCCACAUUCAGUUACUCCUCAGUUGAAUGCCAUGCUUUUGCAUUUGCAAGGACCUCUUGCAGCGCCAAAGCUAUUCAUUGAGGAGACUCAUGAUGCUCAUAGAUUGAGAGUCAUUUUCACUGAACUCACAUCUUGUAAGGAAGACUCACAGCAAAGGAGUUGGAUGCUUUAUGAAGAUGAAACAACGAUUAUUGAAUAUAUUCAGGAACUUAUAUCUAUACUGACAAAUGCAGAUGCAAACAUUUCCCGACAUGUGAUGUCCGGAGAUAAGUAUCAUGGAGUUAGUAGUCUAGUGCAGUAUUAUCAAAUGGAGAUUCGUUGGUCCAUACGUCAGUUGCUUCUCCAGGCCUUUGGUGUCAUGUGUAGUCUUGAUCCUACAGUUGUCACUCUUAUGCUCAACUCAGUUCUGCCGAUGGAACUUGCUCGAGAUAUGCGAACCAAUCCAAGGGAUAUACCACGUCUCAACUACUCUUCACUUCUGCUCUCAAUGAUCUUUUCAAUGGGAGAACCCAUGCCAGUCACACACAUGGAACAUUUAGGUCUUGACUUUGUGUCAUUCCUGUUCGACCUGAUUGAAUGUCCUCCUGAUACUGAUGUGGAAGAGCAGAUUCCAGACCUGUUCGUGAACUUGGUGCUGGCUUAUAAUCUGCAGUUUGCAGCAGAUGUUGAGAACGUGAUGCUGAAAGCUCUGUUGCAAAGGCCCCUAGCCAAAAGUUUUACUGAGAAGACAUUACUUCUCCUCAACAGAGAAGUGGAUCCUGUUCGAAUUUUUGAGCAUCAGCCUGCUCCACCUCAUUCAGUUCUCAAGCUGUUUGUGGAUCUGUUCAGCACCUCUCAGACAGCUACACUCUUCUACACAAAUGAUACAAAGGUGCUCAUUGAUAUCAUUGUCAGACAGCUGGCUGACCUGUCACCUGGAGACAAUCGAAGACACCAAUAUCUGGAAUUGUGUCGGCUGGUAAUGCGAAACACAGCUUACUCUGAUCACCACCAUCGACGGGAUGACAUCCUUAAAUGCUUCACAAGAAUAUUCUGCGAGGAAACGGAACAAAGCAAAUCUGAUCAGCAGUUGGUGCGAGAAAUCUCCAAUGAAUUCCCUCAGUACUUCAAGGCCUAGAGAUGACUGCAGUCCAUCUUGAUGUGUAUGUGAGGCCAUUGUUCACAUAGAUUAGCUCAAUUUUAAGUAUUCAUGUAAUGAAUUAAAUGACCAAGGAGUACUAUUUUCUCUUAGAAUGUAACAAUAGAGGAGUUGGGGUAACUCAGUUGGUACGGCGAACAGAUUAUGUGCUGGAAGACUGAGGAGUUGAGGUUUGAUUCCUGAACCUCUUUGUGGCCCACCCAGCCUCCUAUGCAGUGGGUAUUAGGGACUGUUUUCUUGGAGGUAAAGUGGUAGAGGUGUGAAACUGCCCACUCCCAUGUAGUGCUGAGGCUAAGAAUGGUGCAUGUAAUGGGCACUCCCCAGUAUGUCUUCAUGGUAUAGUGCUUAAUUACUUGUACCUUCAUAUUAUAAUAGUUCUCAAUUUGUAUUUUUCUGCGUUUCUUUUAAUUUGUGGGAUUGUCGAUGUGUGAAGAGACAACCACUUAUUAAACUUCUAUACGAUUAUUUAUUGUCGCUAUACAGAAUAUACAGACAAAGUUAAGUUGAAGACUUGAAGGCUGCAGGUAGGUUGGUUGAAGAAGAUUGAUUCUUUCGAAUUGAGUCUUAUGUUACAACUGACAAUCAGUUGGCCAGUCUGUCUUGGAAUAAACCAACAAUCUGGGUCUUAUGAUGAGAUUUCUAUUACUGUUAGACAGUUGUAGGUUUGUUGAAGUGGGGCACUUUCUCUGACGAGAGGACGGGUCUGUUGUUUACAAUGGCUGCUGGCCCUCACCAGCGCAGUCAUUCUCAGGUUCAAGCCCUGUAGGAUUUCUACCAUAUUUUACUGUCCCAGAUUCAAGACUUCCCUUUUUGUUUACUCCUAUGACUUGCAGGGUUAUGGUGGAAGUAUUUGACCAUGCCUUCACAUGGGAUAAUGACUCUGGAUAGGGGCCUUCCUUAAAUAGUUUCAUUCCAACCAUGUAACGCAUAUUUGGGGUACCAUUCUGUUACUGUGUUAUCUUGAUUUGGUUCCAUGGAUACCUUCAUUACUGAUUCAUUGCAUAGCAAUGAAUAAUUCAUAGUGAUGAUUGUACAAUAAGUACAUUGUUGUUACAACGCUUGGUUUAGUGUGUGCGGUUCCCACAAAUUUUGUUUAGGAUGACAAAUUAUGUACACUGUAAUUAAAUUACAAAGUAAUUUACAAUACUUUUGUAAAAAUGACUUAUAUAGACGUUAUAAAUUAAACAAAUUCUUGGAAAUCAUUCACAUUAUACAGGGUAUGUCAGUGAAUCAGGCAAUUUUAAAAACUUUAUGAACAGUGAAUUAUUGCAUUUAUUUGGUUUUAACAUAUAUGAAUACAGUGUAAACAUAAAAGCAUUUGGUUUUUCUCAAUUAACUCACUGAAAACAGAAGUCCAUUUCCCAAAAAUAACAUCCGACAGAUGACCACCAUUCCGCUGUAGGCACUCGGUAAGUCUCUUCGUAAAGUCACUCAUUACUCUUUGCAGCAUCUCUACAGGAAUUUGUUCAACUUCUUCCCAAAUUUUAUGUUCAACUACUGAACUGUGUGGGGUGCUGGAGCUUUGAAAUCUUGGGAUUUCAUAUAUCCCCAGAUAAAAAAAUCCCAUGUGGAAAGCUCAGGUGACCUGGCUGGCCAUAUGAUGUCCCCAUAUCUGGAGAUAACACGAUGAGGAAACAGGUUAUUAACAACUGCCAUGGAAGCUUGUGUGGUGUGGCACAUAGUCCCAUCUUGCUGGAAAAACGUUUCUUCCUUGACUGGAAGAUGAGCAAGUGCAGGAGCUAAGAAGCUCUCCAACAUGUGAACGUAACGUGGUCCAGUCACAGUUACAACCCUUUCCCACUCAUCUUCAAAGAAGUACAUGCCAAUAAUUCCAAACAAAGAUAUCGCGCACCAUACUGUGACUUUGGAACUGUGAAGUGGUCUCAUAAAUUUCUUUGGGGUUUGUGGCUGACCAAUAGUGGAAAUUUUGCUUGUUAACAAACACUGAUAAAUGGAAAUGAGCUUCAUCGCUCAUCAGUAAGUUAUUAACAACAUCUUGGUUUUGAUUAAUUAAUUGUAAAAAAGUCUGGCAGAAAUCGACUCUGUUUUCAUAGUUGUGUUCGUGUAGUGCAUGAGUAAUUUGAAUUCUGUAGGGGUAGAAGUGGAGGUCUUUGUGCAAAAUCCGUCAAACGCUGGCUUCGGACAGCCUGAGUGAUGUAACAUGGCGAUGCAAGGACCAACGUGGACUUUAUUCAAUGGGUUCUCUCACUCCCGCUACAUUCCCGGGUGUAUGUGCUGUUUUUAUGCUACUACCUUUCUUCUUUAGUGUAGAACCAGUAGCCUCAAAGUUCUGAACCCAGGUCUUGAUGGUAUGGGUAGAUGGAACAGCACGAUUGCAAUGAAUACCAAACUCUGUUUGAAAUUCAUGCUCAGUGAUCCUGAAACUCACUGUUUUUGUAAAAUGCUUUCACAGCAAAAGCACGUUGUGCUCCAGUCCACGACACCAUUGCAACUAAAACGCUUUGAAGUAGGCUGCUGGGUGGCAGUAGUGGCAUCCUCCCACUCGAGCCAAUCUAUGAAAAAACACUGCUGCCAAAUUGCCAAAUUCAUUGACACACUCUGUAUGUUAUGUUAGAGAUAAAUUACUUGCUAGUGGUAUAUUAAAAAAUCACUAUUUCUGCACUGUCUUACCAUUCCAUAUUCAAAGUAAAACACUGCAAAAUAGAUCCUUCACUGCAUUACUAAUGAGUAAAUAAAAUUAUCAUAAUAUGCAGUGUAUAACUGAAAAGUUUUUUCUAUUAAGCGAGUAUAGCUAUGAGUAUACUGCUGGGGUUCAGUACCCGCCAGGUGGAAGAGACUUUUCUGUUCACAACGUCCAGACCAGCUCUGGGGCCAACCUGGCCUCCUAUCCAAUGGGUACCAGGGCUUUGCCUGCAGGAAUAAAGCAGCUGUGCAUUAAACUGACCACUCUGAUCUAUUGCAGAGAGUUUGAGGCCGGAAUGGUUUGUACAAGUUAUGUGUAGAAAAUGACAGAGUUCUGAAGGAAUCUUUGGAAGCAGAUCAUAAAAUGAAGACAGCUAUUCAGAAGACCAGUAGCUGGAUGGUAUGCUUAGAAAAGCAGAAUUUGGGAAUAUAAGAAUACAAAAAAAUUAAUAUAAGAGGAAAGGAUGGGGAAAGUUGGAACAUAAUGGAAUUACUUUAUUAUGAAAAUAUUAAGAAAUUAUGGUAUAUUACUCAUGUAACUGGUGGAGUACUGUAAUAAUUAAGGCUUAACAAAAAUCAGUCACAUAGAAAUGAUUGUUAUGACUGUCUGCAUAAUUAGUGAUUAAAGCAUACAAUAUCUUAUAAUAUUUAAACCAUAUAUUGCAUCUCAGGUUAUUGUUACAGGUAAGUAAUGUAGUUCCUUAUCAGGAAUAUGUCAGCUGUUAGGUUUCAUGUCCUGUCACAAUUUUAUUCUUUUAUGUGUUUUUCUUAAACUUAGGUUCACCUGAUAUUUGUUUGCUAUGAUCAUUCUUUUAUUAUGUUGUUUUUCAUCUUUAUGUGUUGUAUCUAAAAGGUGUGUACACAUGUAAAAUAUGAAUUGAUUUAUAGAUUUUACAGCUUUUCUUUCAAACCUUUUAGUCUCUCAUGAAUUUUUAACAAGAUAUACCAAGAAAGUUCAUUUAGCCCCAUAAAAUUAGUGGCUUUGAUUGACCACUGUGAACUGACGUGUUCAUUUUCAUAUGUAUUUUAACAUGAAUUCACUGAAGCUGUAAUAUUGGUCUUGUAGGUUGCAUAUGAGUUAGUAUUGUACUUGUCAGCAAUAAUUAACCUACAAAUAGAGAUAAAAACUUCUCAAUUUCUAAUCAUACUUUCACAUAGUGAUUUUCAGAAUUUAUUGUCUAUUAUCCAGAGAUUAAUAUAGUGACAAUUGCAUUUUCAUGGAAAGCCUAUUAUCACAUGUGUUACUGGUAACUUUUGAAGUGUUUUCUCUGUUACUACUCUCCUGUAGUUAUGAACUGAAGACUCUUAACAUUUAAUGAAAACUUGAUAUUAUUUUAAAUGUCUGUUAUAUGUAUUGAAAGUGUAAAUACUCAGUGGUAUCGCUCUGCAAAGAGCAUUAAUAUUUUUAUAAUAAUCAUGCCAGGAAAUUGGUUUCACAAUUUCCUGUGUUGCUUGUUAUCUGUUCAUCAGAUGAGUUGCUAGUCAUAGUCGCCUUCAGUAUAGCCACACCAUCUUCAUGCUGUACAUUUUCAUUAUGUUGUAUCCACCAGCAGUUUUUUGUGCAUUCUAGGUUCUUGUUCAGUCUUUUUAUCAGUCUGUGUACAUUUUUCAUACAUCUUAUCAGUAUGGUAUGUUGCCCCUUUUUUGUACGGAUGAGGGCUGUGUUGCAAACAUUUAACAGGAACCUGUUUCGUUAAGGUGGCUGAGCAGGAAUGUGGUACAUGACAUGUAGGGAAGGAAGACAGGGACCAAUUCAUUGCAACAUUAAAAGCCCUUUUAAGGGCGACCCAUUCCUACUGGCUCAAAUGCAACUCUUCCCGUACCUCCCUAUAUAUCAUGUGCAAUUUUCUUGCUUGGCUUAUGCUUCUACUCUGAAAAUGGAGGAAGCAGGUUCAAGUGUUGGAAACAUAGUCCAGUUCCGCAUGGUGCCAUCGCUCAAAGACAGAAUUAGGAUAUUUAGUAAAGUGGUCUGAAGGCAUACAUUGUACUUAGAUGUUAUGUUAUUUUCCACAUCUUUUAAUGUAGUAUGAUAAAAGAUUGUAUAGAAAACACCCAGGACCAGUUACACCAUACAUUACCACACCAAAAUUCUGGUGAUCUGCAUGAUCCAUUCCUACAGUUUGUUGUUACGCAACGGAUCAUCAGUCAUUUUUCAGAUUUCACUCUUAUUCUUAGGCUAAGGUGAGACUGAGCCCCUCGGAAAUCAGGCCUUUUGGUAACCCAGUUGUACCAGCCCCAGAUGAUAGGUGAGAGAAAUGGAACAUUUGGUGGAAUUAGAAUUGGCAGGGGAAACUGAAAUGCUUGGAGAACACGUGUCACAAUGCCACUU